UCGAGAAUCUUCCACAAUGGGCGAAAGCCUGAUGGAGCGACGCCGCGUGAUUGAUGAAGACCCUCUGGGUCGUAAAGAUCUUUUAUAGGGGAGAAAGCCAUGUUUGACAUGGUUGAUGGUACUCUAUGAAUAAGGGGUUGCUAAACUCGUGCCAGCAGCAGCGGUAAUACGAGUGCCCCGAGCGUUAUCCGGAAUUAUUGGGCGUAAAGGGUGUGUAGGUGGCAGUGUUAGUCCUUUGUUAAAACCUUGAGCUUAACUCAAGACAUGCGAAGGAAACGGCACCGCUCGAGAGUGUGAGAGGCAAGCGGAACUCAUGGUGUAGGGGUGAAAUCCGUUAAUAUCAUGGGGAACACCGAAGGCGAAGGCAGCUUGCUGGCACAUUUCUGACACUGAAACACGA
This 400-nucleotide ribosomal RNA is filed under the name uncultured bacterium. Its description in RNAcentral is "bacterial SSU rRNA". It matches the Rfam family "Bacterial small subunit ribosomal RNA", at positions 355 to 756 of the family's 1533-position model. The record is from RNAcentral.